Molecule: ribosomal RNA, 305 nt
Filed under: uncultured bacterium
Lineage: Bacteria
Description: bacterial SSU rRNA
Rfam family: Bacterial small subunit ribosomal RNA
Source: RNAcentral
CCUACGGGGGGCAGCAGUAGGGAAUCUUCCACAAUGGACGAAAGUCUGAUGGAGCAACGCCGCGUGAGUGAAGAAGGGUUUCGGCUCGUAAAGCUCUGUUGGUAGUGAAGAAAGAUAGAGGUAGUAACUGGCCUCUAUUUGACGGUAAUUACUUAGAAAGUCACGGCUAACUACGUGCCGGCAGCCGCGGUAAUACGUAGGGGGCAAGCGUUGUCCGGAUUUAUUGGGCGUAAAGCGAGUGCAGGCGGGUCAAUAAGUCUGAUGUGAAAAGCCUCGGGUCAACCGGAGAAAUGCAUCAGAAAAUG